RNAcentral lists this ribosomal RNA (492 nucleotides) under uncultured bacterium. Its description in RNAcentral is "partial 16S ribosomal RNA". It matches the Rfam family "Bacterial small subunit ribosomal RNA", at positions 29 to 507 of the family's 1533-position model. The record is from RNAcentral.
AGUGAACGCUGGCGGUAGGCCUAACACAUACAAGUCGAACGGCAGCACAGUAAGAGCUUGCUCUUACGGGUGGCGAGUGGCGGACGGGUGAGGAAUACAUCGGAAUCUACUUUUUCGUGGGGGAUAACGUAGGGAAACUUACGCUAAUACCGCAUACGACCUACGGGUGAAAGCAGGGGAUCUUCGGACCUUGCGCGAUUGAAUGAGCCGAUGUCGGAUUAGCUAGUUGGCGGGGUAAAGGCCCACCAAGGCGACGAUCCGUAGCUGGUCUGAGAGGAUGAUCAGCCACACUGGAACUGAGACACGGUCCAGACUCCUACGGGAGGCAGCAGUGGGGAAUAUUGGACAAUGGGCGCAAGCCCGAUCCAGCCAUACCGCGUGGGUGAAGAAGGCCUUCGGGUUGUAAAGCCCUUUUGUUGGGAAAGAAAAGCAGCAGGUUAAUACCCCGCUGUUCUGACGGUACCCAAAGAAUAAGCACCGGCUAACUUCGUG